GGCCUCCUGGCGCAACGGAUAGCGCGCCGGCCUCCUAAGCCGGGCGUCCGGGUUCGAUUCCCGGGGAGGCCGCCA
This 75-nucleotide transfer RNA is filed under the name Gordonibacter massiliensis (ex Traore et al. 2017). RNAcentral describes it as "tRNA-Arg". It matches the Rfam family "tRNA". Rfam says of the family: Transfer RNA (tRNA) molecules are approximately 80 nucleotides in length. Their secondary structure includes four short double-helical elements and three loops (D, anti-codon, and T loops). The record is from RNAcentral. Lineage: Bacteria; Bacillati; Actinomycetota; Coriobacteriia; Eggerthellales; Eggerthellaceae.